GCUGGACAUGGUGGCGGAUGCCUGUAAUCCCAGCUACUUGGGAGGCUGAGGCAGGAGAAUCCCUUGAGCCCAGGAGGCGGAGGUUGCAGUGAGCCAAGAUUGCACCACUGCACUCCUGCCUGGGCAAUAGAGGAAGACUCUGUCUCAA
This is an unclassified non-coding RNA of Macaca fascicularis (crab-eating macaque), 148 nucleotides long. It matches the Rfam family "Metazoan signal recognition particle RNA". From Rfam's summary of the family: The signal recognition particle (SRP) is a universally conserved ribonucleoprotein. Lineage: Eukaryota; Metazoa; Chordata; Mammalia; Primates; Cercopithecidae. The record is from Ensembl.